RNAcentral lists this ribosomal RNA (484 nucleotides) under uncultured bacterium. Its description in RNAcentral is "partial 16S ribosomal RNA". It matches the Rfam family "Bacterial small subunit ribosomal RNA", at positions 29 to 507 of the family's 1533-position model. The record is from RNAcentral.
AUUGAACGCUGGCGGCAUGCUUUACACAUGCAAGUCGAACGGCAGCGCGGGCUUCGGCCUGGCGGCGAGUGGUGAACGGGUGAGUAAUGCAUCGGAACGUGCCCAGUAGUGGGGGAUAGCCCGGCGAAAGCCGGAUUAAUACCGCAUACGACCUGAGGGUGAAAGCGGGGGACCGAAAGGCCUCGCGCUAUUGGAGCGGCCGAUGUCGGAUUAGCUAGUUGGUGGGGUAAAGGCUUACCAAGGCGACGAUCCGUAGCUGGUCUGAGAGGACGACCAGCCACACUGGGACUGAGACACGGCCCAGACUCCUACGGGAGGCAGCAGUGGGGAAUUUUGGACAAAGGGGGCAACCCUGAUCCAGCCAUGCCGCGUGCGGGAAGAAGGCCUUCGGGUUGUAAACCGCUUUUGUUCGGGAAGAAAUCCUCUGGGCUAAUACCCCGGGGGGAUGACGGUACCGGAAGAAUAAGCACCGGCUAACUACGUG